AUUGAACGCUGGCGGCAUGCUUUACACAUGCAAGUCGAACGGUAGAGGGGGCAACCCCUUGAGAGUGGCGAACGGGUGAGUAAUGCAUCGGAACGUGCCCAGUCGUGGGGGAUAACGCAACGAAAGCUGUGCUAAUACCGCAUACGAUCUCUGGAUGAAAGCGGGGGACCGAAAGGCCUCGCGCGAUUGGAGCGGCCGAUGUCAGAUUAGGUAGUUGGUGGGGUAAAGGCUCACCAAGCCAACGAUCUGUAGCUGGUCUGAGAGGACGACCGGCCACACUGGGACUGAGACACGGCCCAGACUCCUACGGGAGGCAGCAGUGGUGAAUUUUGGACAAUGGGCGCAAGCCUGAGCCAGCAAUGCCGCGUGCAGGAAGAAGGCCUUCGGAUUGUAAACUGCUUUUGUACGGAACGAAAAGGUCUGGGUUAAUACCCUGGGCACAUGACGGUACCGUAAGAAUAAGCACCGGCUAACUACGUGCCAGCCGCCGCAGUAA
This 496-nucleotide ribosomal RNA is filed under the name uncultured bacterium. RNAcentral describes it as "partial 16S ribosomal RNA". It matches the Rfam family "Bacterial small subunit ribosomal RNA", at positions 30 to 523 of the family's 1533-position model. The record is from RNAcentral.